This 218-nucleotide unclassified non-coding RNA is filed under the name Hevea brasiliensis (rubber tree). Lineage: Eukaryota; Viridiplantae; Streptophyta; Magnoliopsida; Malpighiales; Euphorbiaceae. The record is from RNAcentral.
AUUACAUUACAUAUUACUUAAGCACAAGAAAUUCUCAUCAUCAGUAUGUAUGUGAAAAUCAGAGAAAGGAUUCUUUCAUUCUCCUUUCAUAACUAAGAUUAUUUCGAUAAUAACGAGACCAAAAAAAAUGAAUAGGGAAAUUUCCAAAAAGAUGAAAAAGAAAAAGAAGAAGAGAAUAAAGCAAGAAGAAAGUACCAUAUUGUUGUGAGGUGGAAGGU